AUUGAACGCUGGCGGAAUGCUUACACAUGCAAGUCGAACGGUAGAGGGGGCAACCCUCGAGAGUGGCGAACGGGUGAGUAAUAUAUCGGAACGUGCCCAGUCGUGGGGGAUAACGUAGCGAAAGUUACGCUAAUACCGCAUACGAUCUACGGAUGAAAGCGGGGGACCGUAAGGCCUCGCGCGAUUGGAGCGGCCGAUAUCAGAUUAGGUAGUUGGUGGGGUAAAGGCUCACCAAGCCAACGAUCUGUAGCUGGUCUGAGAGGACGACCAGCCACACUGGAACUGAGACACGGUCCAGACUCCUACGGGAGGCAGCAGUGGGGAAUUUUGGACAAUGGACGCAAGUCUGAUCCAGCCAUUCCGCGUGCAGGAUGAAGGCCCUCGGGUUGUAAACUGCUUUUGUACGGAACGAAAAGGUCUCUCUUAAUACGGGGGGGCUCAUGACGGUACCGUAAGAAUAAGCACCGGCUAACUACGUG
Molecule: ribosomal RNA, 479 nt
Filed under: uncultured bacterium
Lineage: Bacteria
Description: bacterial SSU rRNA
Rfam family: Bacterial small subunit ribosomal RNA
Source: RNAcentral